AAGCCAGACUCCUACGGGAGGCAGCAGUGGGGAAUAUUGCACAAUGGGGGAAACCCUGAUGCAGCGACGCCGCGUGAGUGAAGAAGUAUUUCGGUAUGUAAAGCUCUAUCAGCAGGGAAGAUAAUGACGGUACCUGACUAAGAAGCCCCGGCUAACUACGUGCCAGCAGCCGCGGUAAUACGUAGGGGGCAAGCGUUAUCCGGAUUUACUGGGUGUAAAGGGUGCGCAGGUGGCAGGGCAAGUCAGAUGUGAAAGCCCGGGGCUCAACCCCGGUAUUGCAUUUGAAACUGUCCGGCUAGAGUGCAGGAGAGGUAAGCGGAAUUCCUAGUGUAGCGGUGAAAUGCGUAGAUAUUAGGAGGAACACCAGUGGCGAAGGCGGCUUACUGGACUGUAACUGACACUGAGGCACGAAAGCGUGGGGAGCAAACAGGAUUAGAUACCCCUGUA
Molecule: ribosomal RNA, 447 nt
Filed under: uncultured bacterium
Lineage: Bacteria
Description: bacterial SSU rRNA
Rfam family: Bacterial small subunit ribosomal RNA
Source: RNAcentral